GAUGAACGCUGGCGGCGUGCUUAACACAUGCAAGUCGAACGGAAAGGCCCAAGCUUGCUUGGGUGCUCGAGUGGCGAACGGGUGAGUAACACGUGGGUGAUCUGCCCUGCACUUCGGGAUAAGCCUGGGAAACUGGGUCUAAUACCGGAUAGGACGAUGGUUUGGAUGCCAUUGUGGAAAGUUUUUUCGGUGUGGGAUGAGCUCGCGGCCUAUAAGCUUGUUGGUGGGGUAAUGGCCUACCAAGGCGUCGACGGGUAGCCGGCCUGCGAGGGUGUACGGACACACUGGGAUCGAGAGGCGGGCCACAGUCCGACGGGAGGGAGCAGGGGGGAAUAUUGGACAAUGGGCGGAAGCCUGAUGCAGCGAGGCCGCGUGGGGGAUGACGGCCUUCGUGUUGUAAACACCUGUCGCUAGGGACGAAGCGUUUUUGUGACGGUACCUGGAGAAGAAGCACCGGCUAACUACGUG
This 468-nucleotide ribosomal RNA is filed under the name uncultured bacterium. Its description in RNAcentral is "partial 16S ribosomal RNA". It matches the Rfam family "Bacterial small subunit ribosomal RNA", at positions 28 to 507 of the family's 1533-position model. The record is from RNAcentral.